Brassica rapa (field mustard) is the source of this 1791-nucleotide long non-coding RNA. RefSeq lists it as uncharacterized. The record is from RefSeq and is a predicted model, not a curated record. Lineage: Eukaryota; Viridiplantae; Streptophyta; Magnoliopsida; Brassicales; Brassicaceae.
UCCAUUAAUUCAGACGAGUUCUUCAAUGGUUCUUUUAGAUCUGAUAGGCGGUAUAAAUAGAUGUGAGUAUUCUCCCCGCUCGAUGUGCUCAGAACUUCAAGCUUUCCAACUCCUCUUUACUGAUUCGGUUCAAUGAUUCAACCGAUUUUGACGAGUUCACCGAACCGGUCUAUCCGUUACCUGAAGAAGGAUCUCGGUUCCAUAACUAAAUCGAGAUGGUUGGAUUAGCUAACACAAACACACAGCUUCCAGGUACGGACAUGAUUUGUAUAUAUAUAUAUAUAUGGUCUUAUUAUGUAUCUGGGCUUUGUGUUCCAUAUAUUGGUAUCGGUUUAUCCAUGUAACAUACUAAUUUCGAUCUCAAUUUCCGUAUCACUCUGGGCACAACUGGAGGAAGAAGAAAGAUGGUAAAAUGGUGAAAGAGGCUCACGAAAAGCUCAAGGUUGGAAGCAUUGAUGUGUUACAUUGUUACUAUGCACAUGGGGAAGACAAUGAGAAUUUCCAGAGGCGUUGCUACUCGAUGGUAAUAGGAUAAGCUCCAGUGGAAUAAAAGAAAACAAUUCAAAUUCACUGCUGUGAAUAUUGAUUCAACGGCAAACACAUCCAGAACAUUGUCACCACUAUGUGAAGAUGUUGAUUCUGGAAACCGAGAUGGUUGGAUUCAUGGGAAUAGAGUAAAAGAAAACAACUCCCAAAGAUUGGUGGGUGUCCCAGCAUUAGAUGCUUCCUUUGAGAAUCCGUUGGCAAGAUACCAGAACCUACCUUAUAAUCCUCUGUUGACUCAGGCAAAUCCUUCUAAUGCUGGAUUAGUGUCUGUGGAAGGGCAUCUCAGAAAUCCUCUUCAAAACCAAGAAAUUGGCAGAAUCCAGUUCAGGACAGCUUUCCACUGCAAAAAUGGCCCGUGGACUCCCAUGGUACUGACCUGGCCUUACAUGAGAAUUUCGAGACGUUUUCGAGUCUUAUCGACGGUCAAAACCAGCAGCAGCCUACCGGGAGUAGUUUUCAAGCUCCGUUUUCAUGGACCUGGACCUCUAGACUCUCUCUAUCGACCGUUUCUAUAAUCUUAGGCAUCGAUGUCUUGCUAGCGGUAACGUCCAAGCACGCUACGUGCGAGGAAUUCAGAAAUAUUUUCGAAAUGACAACCCAAUCGAUGGCAUGUACCAUUUAUGAUUAUCGGCAGAUAUUUAUUAUGAAGAUGAUGUUUACUUAUAUGGCAUCAUCAUGUUGUGCAGGGUGAGCAAGCUGUCGGUCGUGCCUACCUCGACAUGCUUGGCUGGAGGGAGUCUCCAACUAAAUUAGACGGAUGCUAGAGGCGAAUUAAAUCUUCGCUUCAGGUAUUGCUGUUGCGACACUCCCGGUUUACACGGCGACUUACCAAGAGACAAGAACUGCUAUUACAUGUCACCGUAAUAAUAUUGGUCGAAGAUGCGAGCUGUGCUUCUACUUUAGACAGAUGCGAGGCUUUAAUAUUUAACAUAUUUAGACAGUCCAUUGCCUAUCAGAUGGAAAUUAGAAGGCCUUCCAUUCUAAAUGUCAACAACCAGAAACUUAUUUUAUAGCAAAAAAAAUGUUCGAAUAGAGACAAGUUAAAAUUAUCUAUAAAUUAAAUUUUAAAACAUACAAAUAAUUUACUAAACAUUUAUUAUACAUAAGAUAAUAAACAUGUUCAUCUUAUAAUACUUAUAAAAAUGUUACUAAUUGAUAAUGUGAAGAAUAAAAUUAUCAAAUUAUCCACACAUUAAAACAUACAAAUAAUUUACUAAACAAUUAUUAUACAUAGGAUAAAAUAAU